This 413-nucleotide ribosomal RNA is filed under the name Escherichia coli. RNAcentral's name for it is "partial 23S ribosomal RNA". It matches the Rfam family "Bacterial large subunit ribosomal RNA", at positions 609 to 1022 of the family's 2925-position model. The record is from RNAcentral. Lineage: Bacteria; Pseudomonadati; Pseudomonadota; Gammaproteobacteria; Enterobacterales; Enterobacteriaceae.
UGUAUAAUGGGUCAGCGACUUAUAUUCUGUAGCAAGGUUAACCGAAUAGGGGAGCCGAAGGGAAACCGAGUCUUAACUGGGCGUUAAGUUGCAGGGUAUAGACCCGAAACCCGGUGAUCUAGCCAUGGGCAGGUUGAAGGUUGGGUAACACUAACUGGAGGACCGAACCGACUAAUGUUGAAAAAUUAGCGGAUGACUUGUGGCUGGGGGUGAAAGGCCAAUCAAACCGGGAGAUAGCUGGUUCUCCCCGAAAGCUAUUUAGGUAGCGCCUCGUGAAUUCAUCUCCGGGGGUAGAGCACUGUUUCGGCAAGGGGGUCAUCCCGACUUACCAACCCGAUGCAAACUGCGAAUACCGGAGAAUGUUAUCACGGGAGACACACGGCGGGUGCUAACGUCCGUCGUGAAGAGGGAAA